This is a small nucleolar RNA of Megalops cyprinoides (Indo-Pacific tarpon), 181 nucleotides long. RefSeq annotates it as small nucleolar RNA SNORA23. The transcript has a single exon. NCBI's taxonomy places the organism in Eukaryota, Metazoa, Chordata, Actinopteri, Elopiformes, Megalopidae. The record is from RefSeq and is a predicted model, not a curated record.
GGAGACUGGAGUGCGUGGUGACUGUCUGCGUUUAGUGCCUCUGUCUGUCUGUGUCUUGCAGUCUGAACAGUGGUGCUCACCCCACACCUACAGCCACAGAUACACUGGAGAUCAUAGUACUGGUCUAGUGAUGUCUUCUGAACAGCCUACCACUGGCCAGCCUCCAAACUCUCCCACAAUC